This 253-nucleotide ribosomal RNA is filed under the name uncultured bacterium. RNAcentral's name for it is "partial 16S ribosomal RNA". It matches the Rfam family "Bacterial small subunit ribosomal RNA", at positions 524 to 776 of the family's 1533-position model. The record is from RNAcentral.
UACAGAGGGUGCGAGCGUUAAUCGGAUUUACUGGGCGUAAAGGGCGCGUAGGCGGUUACGUGCGUGCGAUGUGAAAGCCCCGGGCUCAACCUGGGAAGUGCAUCGCAAACGACGUAACUGGAGUAUAUGAGAGGGUGGCGGAAUUUCCGGUGUAGCGGUGAAAUGCGUAGAGAUCGGAAGGAACGUCGAUGGCGAGGGCGGCAGCCUGGACCGACACUGACGCUGAGGCGCGAAAGCGUGGGGAGCAAACAGG